RNAcentral lists this ribosomal RNA (313 nucleotides) under Listeria monocytogenes. RNAcentral describes it as "bacterial SSU rRNA". It matches the Rfam family "Bacterial small subunit ribosomal RNA", at positions 1 to 302 of the family's 1533-position model. Lineage: Bacteria; Bacillati; Bacillota; Bacilli; Caryophanales; Listeriaceae. The record is from RNAcentral.
UUUAAAGAGAGUUUGAUCCUGGCUCAGGACGAACGCUGGCGGCGUGCCUAAUACAUGCAAGUCGAACGAACGGAGGAAGAGCUUGCUCUUCCAAAGUUAGUGGCGGACGGGUGAGUAACACGUGGGCAACCUGCCUGUAAGUUGGGGAUAACUCCGGGAAACCGGGGCUAAUACCGAAUGAUAAAGUUUGGCGCAUGCCACGCUUUUGAAAGAUGGUUUCGGCUAUCGCUUACAGAUGGGCCCGCGGUGCAUUAGCUAGUUGGUAGGGUAAUGGCCUACCAAGGCAACGAUGCAUAGCCGACCUGAGAGGGUG